Molecule: transfer RNA, 75 nt
Filed under: Promethearchaeota archaeon
Lineage: Archaea; Promethearchaeati; Promethearchaeota
Also listed under: 6 other names
Description: tRNA-Thr
Rfam family: tRNA
About the family: Transfer RNA (tRNA) molecules are approximately 80 nucleotides in length. Their secondary structure includes four short double-helical elements and three loops (D, anti-codon, and T loops). Further hydrogen bonds mediate the characteristic L-shaped molecular structure. tRNAs have two regions of fundamental functional importance: the anti-codon, which is responsible for specific mRNA codon recognition, and the 3' end, to which the tRNAs corresponding amino acid is attached (by aminoacyl-tRNA synthetases). tRNAs cope with the degeneracy of the genetic code in two manners: having more than one tRNA (with a specific anti-codon) for a particular amino acid; and 'wobble' base-pairing, i.e. permitting non-standard base-pairing at the 3rd anti-codon position.
Source: RNAcentral
GCCUCGGUAGCUCAGUGGUAGAGCGACAGCCUCGUAAGCUGCUGGUCGCGGGUUCAAUCCCCGCCCGAGGCUCCA